AGUUUUUGAUUCAAGGUGGAGAAUGUGGACUUGAGUGCAAUGAAUCCAAAACUCAGAGUCCCAAAACGGUUUGUUUUGAUCAAAUGAUUCAGUCAUUUGUCACGUGCAGCACAUGGCUUUUAAGUUCAAAGGCUAAAUGACUCAGCAUCUGUCGUUUUGGAGAAACAUAAGUGAAGCACGUGAGCCAGCUCGUGAAGAAGGGAAUCAAGGCUGUUAAAAGCCGUUACACACGCGUCCAGAUUCUGUGCAAUCUGGGUUUCAGCAUCAGGGGUAUAAAACUGGUCGCUGAGGGAGAAAUACGUGUGGUUCAGAGAGAGCUUGAGAGAGAGAUCAGAAAGUGAGAGAGUGUAAUCUUGAUGCUUGUAAUCUCUUCUUGAGAAGUUCUGUAUUUGUCUUCUUGAUUCAUCAAUAAAGCUUUUCCUGUGGCUUUUCCCGUGGAUGUAAAUUGUGCAUGUAAUGCACAAUUGAACCACGUAAUAUUCUGUUCUUGUGUGUUGUGAAUUGUUUCUUGUUUAGGUUAAAACACUGAUAUUAAUCAUUAGAUCUAGAGCCUAUUGGGAUUGAGUUGAAUACUAGAUAUCUGAUCUUGGUUUCUU
This 596-nucleotide long non-coding RNA is filed under the name Citrus maxima (pomelo). RNAcentral's name for it is "long non-coding RNA (CMAX_LNC001929)". The record is from RNAcentral. Lineage: Eukaryota; Viridiplantae; Streptophyta; Magnoliopsida; Sapindales; Rutaceae.